GGAAUAACUCAGGGAAACUUGAGCUAAUACCGGAUACGGUCGAGAGGCGAAAGAUUUAUCGCCGGAGGAUUGGCCCGCGUCCGAUUAGCUAGUUGGUGUGGUAAUGGCGCACCAAGGCGACGAUCGGUAGCUGGUCUGAGAGGAUGAUCAGCCACAUUGGGACUGAGACACGGCCCAAACUCCUACGGGAGGCAGCAGUGGGGAAUAUUGGACAAUGGGCGAAAGCCUGAUCCAGCCAUGCCGCGUGAGUGAUGAAGGCCUUAGGGUUGUAAAGCUCUUUCGCCCACGACGAUAAUGACGGUAGUGGGAGAAGAAGCCCCGGCUAACUUCGUGCCAGCAGCCGCGGUAAUACGAAGGGGGCUAGCGUUGUUCGGAAUUACUGGGCGUAAAGCGCGUGUAGGCGGGUCCUUAAGUCAGGGGUGAAAUGCCAAGGCUCAACCUUGGAACUGCCUUUGAUACUGGGGAUCUUGAGUCCGGGAGAGGUGAGUGGAACUGCGAGUGUAGAGGUGAAAUUCGUAGAUAUUCGCAAGAACACCAGUGGCGAAGGCGGCUCACUGGCCCGGAACUGACGCUGAGACGCGAAAGCGUGGGGAGCAAACAGGAUUAGAUACCCUGGUAGUCCACGCUGUAAACGAUGGAUGCUAGCCGUUGGGGAGCUUGCUCUUCAGUGGCGCAGCUAACGCCU
This 685-nucleotide ribosomal RNA is filed under the name uncultured Alphaproteobacteria bacterium. Its description in RNAcentral is "bacterial SSU rRNA". It matches the Rfam family "Bacterial small subunit ribosomal RNA", at positions 140 to 860 of the family's 1533-position model. Lineage: Bacteria; Pseudomonadati; Pseudomonadota; Alphaproteobacteria. The record is from RNAcentral.